RNAcentral lists this small nuclear RNA (116 nucleotides) under Neolentinus lepideus HHB14362 ss-1. RNAcentral's name for it is "U5 spliceosomal RNA". It matches the Rfam family "U5 spliceosomal RNA". From Rfam's summary of the family: U5 RNA is a component of both types of known spliceosome. The record is from Rfam by way of RNAcentral. Lineage: Eukaryota; Fungi; Basidiomycota; Agaricomycetes; Gloeophyllales; Gloeophyllaceae.
AGCGACAGAGGGUGGUGCAAUCAGACAACGCCCUCGCCUUUUACUAGGGCGUUCCGUGUAUCACCCUCAUUCAAUGUCGCCUAACCAAUUUUUCAAGCGUCAGUUGCUUCUGACCA